This 259-nucleotide ribosomal RNA is filed under the name uncultured prokaryote. RNAcentral's name for it is "partial 16S ribosomal RNA". It matches the Rfam family "Bacterial small subunit ribosomal RNA", at positions 521 to 777 of the family's 1533-position model. The record is from RNAcentral.
UAAUACGGAGGGUGCGAGCGUUGUCCGGAAUCACUGGGCGUAAAGGGCGCGUAGGCGGCCUCUAGCAAGCGUGCGGUGAAAGCCCGGGGCUCAACCCCGGGUCGGCCGUGCGGACUGCGAGGCUGGAGCACUGUAGGGGCAGAUGGAAUUCCGGGUGUAGCGGUGGAAUGCGUAGAGAUCCGGAAGAACACCGGUGGCGAAGGCGGUCUGCUGGGCAGUAGCUGACGCUGAGGCGCGACAGCGUGGGGAGCAAACAGGA